GGACGAACGCUGGCGGCGUGCUUAACACAUGCAAGUCGAACGGAAAGGCCCUGCUUUUGUGGGGUGCUCGAGUGGCGAACGGGUGAGUAACACGUGAGUAACCUGCCCUUGACUUUGGGAUAACUUCAGGAAACUGGGGCUAAUACCGGAUAGGAGCUCCUGCUGCAUGGUGGGGGUUGGAAAGUUUCGGCGGUUGGGGAUGGACUCGCGGCUUAUCAGCUUGUUGGUGGGGUAGUGGCUUACCAAGGCUUUGACGGGGAGCCGGCCUGAGAGGGUGACCGGCCACAUUGGGACUGAGAUACGGCCCAGACUCCUACGGGAGGCAGCAGUGGGGAAUAUUGCACAAUGGGCGGAAGCCUGAUGCAGCAACGCCGCGUGCGGGAUGACGGCCUUCGGGUUGUAAACCGCUUUCGCCUGUGACGAAGCGUGAGUGACGGUAAUGGGUAAAGAAGCACCGGCUAACUACGUG
This 469-nucleotide ribosomal RNA is filed under the name uncultured bacterium. RNAcentral's name for it is "partial 16S ribosomal RNA". It matches the Rfam family "Bacterial small subunit ribosomal RNA", at positions 27 to 507 of the family's 1533-position model. The record is from RNAcentral.